CUUCACAGAGCAGCAAGGAUGAGCACAAUGCUUGGGACACAGCACAGCAGCUUUCCCAGCUGCACAUCACUCUGCAACUGGCUGGAUAAAUGCAGGACAGACAACUGUCUGACAGACAUUUGUUAGAUUGUCGACCACCAAAUGUGUGAGAUUCGUGUCCAUCUGAAUGAUCAGCUCGGUUUUUAUUUCCAGUGACAACCUCAGCCAUCAAGUCCCACCAUAUUCAAACCCAGACCAUGAAGCAGACUGUGUGUAAGCAAUUUAACAAGUGAAGACGUGAACAUAUUUGAAGAUAAUUUACUUUACCAGAUCAAAACUAGAAGACAGUUGAAAUGGCCAGCAGACCAGUUGAAGCAUGUUGAUCCUGUUCUAACAUCAU
Molecule: long non-coding RNA, 379 nt
Organism: Haemorhous mexicanus (house finch)
Lineage: Eukaryota; Metazoa; Chordata; Aves; Passeriformes; Fringillidae
Exons: 3
Source: RefSeq, a predicted model, not a curated record